This 1278-nucleotide long non-coding RNA is filed under the name Sus scrofa (pig). Its description in RNAcentral is "lncRNA (ENSSSCG00060077896.1)". Lineage: Eukaryota; Metazoa; Chordata; Mammalia; Artiodactyla; Suidae. The record is from RNAcentral.
UGGGGCAACCUAGGAUGUUUAGGUUUCGGAAAUCUAACUUCAAUUUAAAAAGUAAGCACAUCAACUUAGAUCACUGUUGUUUUCUAACAUAACCUGAAAAUAAACAUCGUGCUUAGAGAAAUGAAUGGAGAAGGUGAAAACAAUGAUUCUUCAGUGUCAUUCCAUACCACAACUGCUCUUUAUUUUUUAUUUUUAUGUUUUAGUUUGGCUGCACUCGAAGUAAACAGAAGUUCCUUGGCCAGGGAUUGAACCCGUGCCACAGCAGUGAUCCGAGCCAUAGCUCUGACAAUGCCAAGUCCUUAACUUCUAAGCUACCAGGGAACUCCUUUUUCUUUUUUUUCCCAGCUGCUUUUUAAAACUCAUUGUAUCCUUAUUGUCAAAAAUUGAAAACCACCAGGAUGGGGCUGUUGGGGGCAGGGGGAGUAGAGGCAGAAAAAAAAAAUGGAGAGACCCUGGGUGGAUGAAAAAUGUGAGGCAGAGAGAGGUCCAGCCUGUGCCUCCCGGGGUUGCCCUGCAAGCUUAGGUUACCCCUUCUCAAGUGCCACCUCCCCAAAUGCCUUUGACACCCACCUCUAUCUGAGUCAGAGACAAGCCGUGCAGAGCUGGCCCAAGUAGCUGUACUGAUCCAUCGUUACUCCUGCAGGUAUUUGCUCAGGUCAUCAGCAGCUUUUCUCCGCCUCCAGGACAGCUCAGGUGCUCAGGAGUAAUCCAUGUGUGAGAUGGGUCUGCAAUGCGAGGAGUAAUUCCAGCAGCCAGACUGAACCCCUCGGAUUACAAGGAUUUCCAAUUCUCUCAAAACCUGACAAAUGACUCCCUUAGUGCGUGGACUCUGUAGCAUCAAAAUAACCAAUGAUGGGAUGGUUUUGACCAAAUUACCCAACAGAGGGACGAGGGGAGGAACGGGGAAGAAACAGGGCUAUUAAGACAGCCGACUCCCAUCAUUCAGUAUCAUGAAGAAGCCAAUGCAAGGCCUUCAUCAUCUUCAUUUCAAGGCUUAGGCCGAGUUUCCUGGGAAUCCUGUGAAUCCUUGGAGAAGUCGGUGCUCCAGAUGUGCUUCCAAGUUGAGCGGCUCACCCAGCAACCUGAACUUCGCGACGUUUUUGUUUCUCCUUGCAUUUGCAUUCUCAGGGACAGGAGGUUCCGUCGCAAUUGUCCUGGGUUCCAGCCCAUCAAAGCCAGUGAUCAAAAGAGCACAAAGGACACUGGGCACUUGAAGAAUAAGAAAAGGAGUGGCUGAAUGUGGGGACUAGACACAGAAGGGAAGUGGCUGCAAAGGGG